ACAGACAUUUAUUUUCUUCUGCUUCUAAAGGUUGGAAGUCCAAGAUGAAGGUGCUGGCGAAUUCAGUUUGUUGAGGGGCUUUUCGGAUGACAGGAUUCUGUUGCAUCCUCACACAG
This 116-nucleotide microRNA precursor is filed under the name Mus pahari (shrew mouse). RNAcentral describes it as "miRNA (MGP_PahariEiJ_G0007100.1)". The record is from RNAcentral. Lineage: Eukaryota; Metazoa; Chordata; Mammalia; Rodentia; Muridae.